This is a long non-coding RNA of Cajanus cajan (pigeon pea), 452 nucleotides long. RefSeq lists it as uncharacterized. NCBI's taxonomy places the organism in Eukaryota, Viridiplantae, Streptophyta, Magnoliopsida, Fabales, Fabaceae. The record is from RefSeq and is a predicted model, not a curated record.
UCGACAUAUAGAGUCUCACCAUCUGCUUAUAUAAACCGAUAUUUAACGAAAAAAUUCAACAAACAAGAUGGAGGCUCUAAGGAAAUCUGCUGUCAAAUUGGCCUUCUUUUUGGUUUUGGUGAUCAUUGCAAAAGAUAUGUGGCCAAUGGAAACGGAAGCAAGAGGACCCAUUGUGCAUUGGCAUUGUUCUAACGACUCAGUGUGUCAAUAUAAUUGUCCAAGUUGUGGUUGCAAGUGCGUUGACACAUGGUGUCGGUGUCCAACCCCUCCUCUCACCAACAAUGUUCGUAUUCAAGCACCUACAAAUUGAGAAACGGGAUCUUCUGUGGUUAUUAUCUAGUUUGGAAGACAACAAUAAAAUGGAUUCAUAUAGAAUGGUUUAUCACAAUUUUGUGUAUCGAAAAUGUAAUUUAUGAAUCUCAAUAUAUCUCAACUUUUUUAAACAUUGUUCA